UUUCCAGUACAUACACGUUUUAAAUAACCCCAUUGGUAAUGGAGAGGUCGACAGUUCAAUCCUGUCUCGCAGCACCA
Molecule: transfer RNA, 77 nt
Filed under: Methylocella silvestris
Lineage: Bacteria; Pseudomonadati; Pseudomonadota; Alphaproteobacteria; Hyphomicrobiales; Beijerinckiaceae
Description: tRNA-Thr
Source: RNAcentral